GACGAACGCUGGCGGCGUGCUUAACACAUGCAAGUCGAACGGAAAGGCCCUGCUUUUGUGGGGUGCUCGAGUGGCGAACGGGUGAGUAACACGUGAGUAACCUGCCCUUGACUUUGGGAUAACUUCAGGAAACUGGGGCUAAUACCGGAUAGGAGCUCCUGCUGCAUGGGGGGGGUUGGAAAGUUGCGGCGGUUGGGGUUGGACUCGCGGCUUAUCAGCUUGUUGGUGGGGUAGUGGCGUACCAAGGCUUUGACGGGUAGCCGGCCUGGGAGGGUGACCGGGCCCAGUGGGGCUCGGGAGCCGGCCGGACGCCUUCGGGGGGGAGGAGCGGGGGAUUUUUGAAAAAGGGCGGAAGCCGGAUGCAGCAACGCCGCGUGCGGGAUGACGGCCUUCGGGUAGUAAACUGCUUUCGCCCGUGACGAAGCGUGAGUGACGGUAAUGGGGAAAGAAGCACCGGCUAACUACGU
RNAcentral lists this ribosomal RNA (467 nucleotides) under uncultured bacterium. RNAcentral's name for it is "partial 16S ribosomal RNA". It matches the Rfam family "Bacterial small subunit ribosomal RNA", at positions 28 to 506 of the family's 1533-position model. The record is from RNAcentral.